UACAGAGGGUGCGAGCGUUAAUCGGAAUUACUGGGCGUAAAGGGCGCGUAGGCGGUAACAAGAGUGUGAUGUGAAAGCCCCGGGCUUAACCUGGGAAGUGCAUCGCAAACGCUGUUACUGGAGUAUAUGAGAGGGUGGUGGAAUUUCCGGUGUAGCGGUGAAAUGCGUAGAGAUCGGAAGGAAGGUCGAUGGCGAAGGCAGCCACCUGGCAUAAUACUGACGCUGAGGCGCGAGAGCGUGGGGAGCGAACAGG
Molecule: ribosomal RNA, 253 nt
Filed under: uncultured Aquicella sp.
Lineage: Bacteria; Pseudomonadati; Pseudomonadota; Gammaproteobacteria; Legionellales; Coxiellaceae
Description: partial 16S ribosomal RNA
Rfam family: Bacterial small subunit ribosomal RNA
Source: RNAcentral